Bactrocera oleae (olive fruit fly) is the source of this 152-nucleotide non-coding RNA. The record is from RefSeq and is a predicted model, not a curated record. Lineage: Eukaryota; Metazoa; Arthropoda; Insecta; Diptera; Tephritidae.
CCGGUACGAACUAGUACCGUAAAGCAAGUGAACAAGUGGAAACAUGAUUAGAAUAAUAAAUCUUAAAGUUAUUUGGCUAUUCACAGCUAUUACUUACCGCACAUUCUAACUUUGGGUCACUAGUUCAACUGGUUUAACACUUCUGUAAAAAA